AUAGAGUUUGAUCCUGGCUCAGGACGAACGCUGGCGGCGUGCCUAAUACAUGCAAGUCGUACGCUUCUUUUUCCACCGGAGCUUGCUCCACCGGAAAAAGANGAGUGGCGAACGGGUGAGUAACACGUGGGUAACCUGCCCAUCAGAAGGGGAUAACACUUGGAAACAGGUGCUAUUACCGUAUAACAAUCGAAACCGCAUGGUUUUGAUUUGAAAGGCGCUUUCGGGUGUCGCUGAUGGAUGGACCCGCGGUGCAUUAGCUAGUUGGUGAGGUAACGGCUCACCAAGGCCACGAUGCAUAGCCGACCUGAGAGGGUGAUCGGCCACAUUGGGACUGAGACACGGCCCAAACUCCUACGGGAGGCAGCAGUAGGGAAUCUUCGGCAAUGGACGAAAGUCUGACCGAGCAACGCCGCGUGAGUGAAGAAGGUUUUCGGAUCGUAAAACUNCUGUUGUUAGAGAAGAANCAAGGAUGAGAGUAANCUGUUCAUGCCCUUGAGCGGUAUCAACCAGAAAGCCC
Molecule: ribosomal RNA, 520 nt
Filed under: Enterococcus faecium
Lineage: Bacteria; Bacillati; Bacillota; Bacilli; Lactobacillales; Enterococcaceae
Description: bacterial SSU rRNA
Rfam family: Bacterial small subunit ribosomal RNA
Source: RNAcentral